Molecule: ribosomal RNA, 446 nt
Filed under: uncultured bacterium
Lineage: Bacteria
Description: partial 16S ribosomal RNA
Rfam family: Bacterial small subunit ribosomal RNA
Source: RNAcentral
CCUACGGGUGGCAGCAGUCGAGAAUCAUUCACAAUGGGGGAAACCCUGAUGGUGCGACGCCGCGUGGGGGAAUGAAGGUCUUCGGAUUGUAAACCCCUUUCAUGUGGGAGCAAAUUAAAAAUAUAGUACCACAAGAGGAAGAGACGGCUAACUCUGUGCCAGCAGCCGCGGUAAUACAGAGGUCUCAAGCGUUGUUCGGAAUCACUGGGCGUAAAGCGUGCGUAGGCUGUUUCGUAAGUCGUGUGUGAAAGGCGGAGGCUCAACCCGCGGACGGCACAUGAUACUGCGAGACUAGAGUAAUGGAGGGGGAACCGGAAUUCUCGGUGUAGCAGUGAAAUGCGUAGAUAUCGGGAGGAACACUCGUGGCGAAGGCGGGUUCCUGGACAUUAACUGACGCUGAGGCACGAAGGCCAGGGGAGCGAAAGGGAUUAGAUACCCGUGUAGUC